GCGGGGGUGGCGAAAUUGGCAGACGCGCAGGUCUCAGAAGCCUGUGGGUAACUCCGUACGAGUUCAAGUCUCGUCCUCCGCACCA
RNAcentral lists this transfer RNA (85 nucleotides) under Clostridiales bacterium. RNAcentral's name for it is "tRNA-Leu". It matches the Rfam family "tRNA". From Rfam's summary of the family: Transfer RNA (tRNA) molecules are approximately 80 nucleotides in length. Their secondary structure includes four short double-helical elements and three loops (D, anti-codon, and T loops). Further hydrogen bonds mediate the characteristic L-shaped molecular structure. tRNAs have two regions of fundamental functional importance: the anti-codon, which is responsible for specific mRNA codon recognition, and the 3' end, to which the tRNAs corresponding amino acid is attached (by aminoacyl-tRNA synthetases). tRNAs cope with the degeneracy of the genetic code in two manners: having more than one tRNA (with a specific anti-codon) for a particular amino acid; and 'wobble' base-pairing, i.e. permitting non-standard base-pairing at the 3rd anti-codon position. The record is from RNAcentral. RNAcentral also lists the same sequence under 1 other name. Lineage: Bacteria; Bacillati; Bacillota; Clostridia; Eubacteriales.